This 253-nucleotide ribosomal RNA is filed under the name uncultured bacterium. RNAcentral's name for it is "partial 16S ribosomal RNA". It matches the Rfam family "Bacterial small subunit ribosomal RNA", at positions 524 to 776 of the family's 1533-position model. RNAcentral also lists the same sequence under 1 other name. The record is from RNAcentral.
GACGAACCGUGCGAACGUUGUUCGGAAUCACUGGGCUUAAAGGGCGCGUAGGCGGUCGAUCAAGUCCGGGGUGAAAUCCUGCAGCUUAACUGUAGAAGUGCCUUGGAUACUGAUCGGCUCGAGGGAGGUAGGGGUCUGUGGAACUUCUGGUGGAGCGGUGAAAUGCGUUGAUAUCAGAAGGAACGCCGGUGGCGAAAGCGGCAGACUGGACCUCUUCUAACGCUGAGGCGCGAAAGCUAGGGGAGCAAACGGG